UCUGCGAGCUAGGGGUGACCAUUUUGGGCUGAGAUACACCCUUUGCACCUGAUCCGGUUAAUGCUGGCGGAGGAAAGCUGCGGGAGCCGUAA
RNAcentral lists this non-coding RNA (92 nucleotides) under Solemya elarraichensis. RNAcentral describes it as "TPP sequence". It matches the Rfam family "TPP riboswitch aptamer (THI element)". Rfam says of the family: Vitamin B(1) in its active form thiamin pyrophosphate (TPP) is an essential coenzyme that is synthesised by coupling of pyrimidine and thiazole moieties in bacteria. Lineage: Eukaryota; Metazoa; Mollusca; Bivalvia; Solemyida; Solemyidae. RNAcentral also lists the same sequence under 1 other name. The record is from RNAcentral.